Molecule: ribosomal RNA, 468 nt
Filed under: uncultured bacterium
Lineage: Bacteria
Description: partial 16S ribosomal RNA
Rfam family: Bacterial small subunit ribosomal RNA
Source: RNAcentral
GACGAACGCUGGCGGCGUGCUUAACACAUGCAAGUCGAACGGAAAGGCCCUGCUCUUGUGGGGCGCUCGAUUGGCGAACGGGGGAGUAACACGUGUGUAACCUGCCCCUGACUUUGGGAUAACUUUAGGAAACUGGGGCUAAUACCGGAUAGGAUCUCUUGCUGCACGGUGGGGGUUGGAAAGUUUCGGCGGUGGGGGAUGGUCUCGCGGCUUAUGAGCUUGUUGGUGGGGUAGUGGCUUACCAAGGCUAUGACGGGUAGCCGGCCUGAGAGCGUGACCGGCCACAUUGGGACUGAGAUACGGACCAGACUCGUACGGGAGGCAGCAGUGGGGAAUAUUACGCAGUGAGCGGGAGCCUGAUGCAGCGACGCCGCGUGCGGGAUGACGGCCUUCGGGUUGUGAACCGCUUUCGACUGUAACGAAGCGUGCGUGACGGUACUGGGUAAAGAAGCACCGGCUAACUACGUG